Molecule: transfer RNA, 74 nt
Filed under: Nanobdellota archaeon
Lineage: Archaea; Nanobdellati; Nanobdellota
Also listed under: 1 other name
Description: tRNA-Arg
Rfam family: tRNA
About the family: Transfer RNA (tRNA) molecules are approximately 80 nucleotides in length.
Source: RNAcentral
GGCCCUGUAGUAUAGCCUGGAUAGUACAAUCGGCUUCGGACCGAUAGACGGGGGUUCGAAUCCUCCCAGGGUCA